CCGAAACCUGCAAAGCAGACCGCGAACACGUUCACAACAACCCCGGCGGCGCGGGGCGGGGGCGACCCCGCCGCGCGCCCCGCUAACGAAACUCGGGCGCGGAAUGCGCCAAGGAAAACAAAAUGGAGCGCUCCCUCCCGGCGCGCCCCGUCCGCGGGGCGAACCGGGAGAGCGACGCCUAUCGAAUGUCUAAACGACUCUCGGCAACGGAUAUCUCGGCUCUCGCAUCGAUGACCACGGGGGGGUGCCGGGGCGGAGAUUGGCCCCCCGUGCGCAGCGAUGCGCGCGGCCGGCCCAAACCCGAAUCCGCCGUCGACGCGCGUCGCGACCAGUGGUGGUUGAACCCUCAACUCGCGCGCUGUCGCGCCCCGCCGCGCCGUCGGUCCGGAGACCGUCCCAACGGGGCGAUCCACGGAUCGCGCCCACGACCGCGACCCCAGGUCA
Molecule: ribosomal RNA, 444 nt
Filed under: Stachys nephrophylla
Lineage: Eukaryota; Viridiplantae; Streptophyta; Magnoliopsida; Lamiales; Lamiaceae
Description: eukaryotic LSU rRNA
Source: RNAcentral